This 253-nucleotide ribosomal RNA is filed under the name uncultured bacterium. RNAcentral's name for it is "partial 16S ribosomal RNA". It matches the Rfam family "Bacterial small subunit ribosomal RNA", at positions 524 to 776 of the family's 1533-position model. The record is from RNAcentral.
UACGGGGGGGGCAAGCGUUGUUCGGAAUUACUGGGCGUAAAGGGCUCGUAGGUGGCCAACUAAGUCAGACGUGAAAUCCCUCGGCUUAACCGGGGAACUGCGUCUGAUACUGGAUGGCUUGAGGUUGGGAGAGGGAUGCGGAAUUCCAGGUGUAGCGGUGAAAUGCGUAGAUAUCGGGAGGAACACCAGUGGCGAAGGCGGCUUCCUGGCCUGUUCUUGACGCUGAGGCGCGAAAGCUAGGGGAGCAAACGGG